CAGCCCGGAACCACUAUCCCACCGGACCACCUCCUCACCGGACAGUCCUGCAGGACCGGACCAGCGCCGAGCGGAGAAUUCAUUUUGUAUAGUUUCUAUAUGGCCUGCUUGACACCACCCCAUGCCUGCCCAGUGUUUUUGCAGUCAUACAAGGAAGUAAGAAUAGCCAAAACAAAAAACAAAAAGGGCCGAAAAUAGAAACGAUGUGGUUUGAAG
Long non-coding RNA from Hyla sarda, 216 nucleotides. RefSeq lists it as uncharacterized. NCBI's taxonomy places the organism in Eukaryota, Metazoa, Chordata, Amphibia, Anura, Hylidae. The record is from RefSeq and is a predicted model, not a curated record. The transcript is spliced from 3 exons.